RNAcentral lists this ribosomal RNA (305 nucleotides) under uncultured bacterium. RNAcentral describes it as "bacterial SSU rRNA". It matches the Rfam family "Bacterial small subunit ribosomal RNA", at positions 333 to 634 of the family's 1533-position model. The record is from RNAcentral.
CUAGCCCUACGGGAGGCAGCAGUGAGGAAUAUUGGUCAAUGGGCGGGAGCCUGAACCAGCCACGUCGCGUGAGGGAAGACGGUCCUAUGGAUUGUAAACCUCUUUUGUCGGGGAGCAAAGCGCGGUACGAGUGCCGUGAAGGAGAGUACCCGAAGAAAAAGCAUCGGCUAACUCCGUGCCAGCAGCCGCGGUAAUACGGAGGAUCCAAGCGUUAUCCGGAUUUAUUGGGUUUAAAGGGUGCGUAGGCGGAUUGAUAAGUUAGAGGUGAAAUGUCCGAGCUCAACUCGGGAACUGCCUCUAAUACU